This 426-nucleotide ribosomal RNA is filed under the name uncultured bacterium. Its description in RNAcentral is "bacterial SSU rRNA". It matches the Rfam family "Bacterial small subunit ribosomal RNA", at positions 354 to 796 of the family's 1533-position model. The record is from RNAcentral.
GUGAGGAAUUUUCCGCAAUGGGCGAAAGCCUGACGGAGCAAUGCCGCGUGAAGGAUGAAGGCCUAUGGGUUGUAAACUUCUUUUCUCAGAAAAGAAUCAUGACGGUAUCUGAGGAAUAAGCAUCGGCUAACUCUGUGCCAGCAGCCGCGGUAAGACAGAGGAUGCAAGCGUUAUCCGGAAUGAUUGGGCGUAAAGCGUCUGUAGGUUGUUUAAAAAGUAUUCUGUCAAAGAUUAGGGCUUAACCCUAGAUAGGCAGAAUAAACUUUUAAGCUAGAGUUUGGUAGAGGCAGAGGGAAUUCCCGGUGGAGCGGUGAAAUGCGUAGAUAUCGGGAGGAACACCAAAGGCGAAGGCACUCUGCUGGGCCAAUACUAACACUGAGAGACGAAAGCGAGGGGAGCAAAUGGGAUUAGAUACCCCUGUAGUCC